CAGAGAUUCUGGGUUCGAUCCCCAGUGGAGUCGUAAGUUUUUGCCGCUAAUCGCGAUGGUUUAAAAAGGAGUCGAAACCCUAACUUCGAGCCUAUUGGAUGCUCUAAUCUUUGGCAUAUAAUGACGUCUGGAGCUUCUCAGAUCAACGACGAGCGGCGAGCGGAUGUGGAUUCUCAACUCGGUGGAUCGAUUCAUUUUACAUACGUUGGGACCACACAUGGGUGUGUCGUAUACAUAGUAUUGUGCAGUCUUUGGGUUACAUGAAAUGCUUUCUGAAACUAUAUUUGUCCAUUGCCUGCUAUAUAUUGAGCAGUAUAUUUGGCAUUUACAUGUUGGAAGCUACAUCUAUAUUAUCUUCGUUUUUUUUUUACUUUACCUAUGAAAGAAUGAAUCUAUUCAAUAUUUAAGUAAUCUUGUUGAGUUUAUGAUGA
Long non-coding RNA from Musa acuminata AAA Group (dessert banana), 431 nucleotides. RefSeq lists it as uncharacterized. The record is from RefSeq and is a predicted model, not a curated record. Lineage: Eukaryota; Viridiplantae; Streptophyta; Magnoliopsida; Zingiberales; Musaceae. The transcript is spliced from 2 exons.